Triticum aestivum (bread wheat) is the source of this 125-nucleotide non-coding RNA. Lineage: Eukaryota; Viridiplantae; Streptophyta; Magnoliopsida; Poales; Poaceae. The record is from Rfam.
UUCAUACUCCCUCCGUCCGAAAAACUUGUCCCUCGAAUGGAUGUAUCUAGCAUCAAGUUAAUGCUAGAUACAUCCAUUUGAGAGACAAGUUUGGGACAAGUUUUUUCGGUCGGAGAAAGUAUGUU